AAAGCGUGCGCGCGGCGCGGAAAGCUUCGGAAAUCGUAGGAGACGAGCCGCAGACAGACAGGAAAGCCGAAACCUAUAACUACAAAGCCGAAGCCCGUACAACGCAUAAUCUUCGCUUUAUUCCGACCGACGGCAAACCAUAAUAUUCUCUAUUAUCGAAUGAAGAAGCGCGCGUGAAUAGGCGAAGUGGGCUAUUUGGUAUCUUGGAAAGUCAAGAAGACUUCAUAUUUUUGCUACAAACGCAAGUACAUAAACGACAUUGACGAUGGCGACGCGAAUGAGGAAAUUGAAAAUGUGCCAGCAAAUCAGUGC
This is a long non-coding RNA of Dalotia coriaria, 312 nucleotides long. RefSeq lists it as uncharacterized. NCBI's taxonomy places the organism in Eukaryota, Metazoa, Arthropoda, Insecta, Coleoptera, Staphylinidae. The transcript is spliced from 3 exons. The record is from RefSeq and is a predicted model, not a curated record.